ACGACCUUACUUGAACAGGAUCUGUUCUAUAGGCUCGUACCUCUGUAUCCUUGAUUUCUAAGGAGACAGGCCCUUAACCCUGGUUGAUGAACCAUGACCGUGCGGCUAGAGCGUGAUUAACGGCCAAGAUCAAUCCUUAGAUCGGUCCGGUGCUGUAGAGGAUCGUUACUCGGCUCGGUCUUAUCCUUGCCGGUGUGGUCGCACGGCGGUCUGACAGGCU
Arabis alpina (gray rockcress) is the source of this 220-nucleotide small nucleolar RNA. It matches the Rfam family "Plant small nucleolar RNA U3". From Rfam's summary of the family: Small nucleolar RNAs (snoRNAs) are involved in the processing and modification of rRNA in the nucleolus. There are two main classes of snoRNAs: the box C/D class, and the box H/ACA class. Lineage: Eukaryota; Viridiplantae; Streptophyta; Magnoliopsida; Brassicales; Brassicaceae. The record is from Rfam.